Non-coding RNA from Paramuricea clavata, 1207 nucleotides. The record is from the annotation of a GenBank genome assembly. NCBI's taxonomy places the organism in Eukaryota, Metazoa, Cnidaria, Anthozoa, Malacalcyonacea, Plexauridae.
CUUGAAUCUUGUUUAUUCCACGACACUAAUCGCGUUGUGAAUAACUAUACAAGGAAUAUGUUUGAUUUCAAGAAAAACAUAGGCGAAUUCCUCAAAUUCCAUUAGGGCCUAAGUUGAGAGCACUUAUUACAUCAUAAUUCGAUUCCUUCUGGAGUUGUGUAGUUGAAAAAUUGAAACGUGCAUGGCGGCGGGAGUGAAACUGUGUAAUUCGUACCAGUGUAAGAAUAUGUUCAAAAAUGUCAGUUCCCCUUGACAUUGAACUAUAGUUGAUUUGUUAUUUCCUUGUAGAGAUCAUAGCUGGGAAACAAACCUUAUAGGUAAACUGAGAAUGACGGAAGAUGCUGUAUUGAAAUAUACAUGGCUACUAUGGCUUCUGAGAGCAACGGCCAACGUGCACCGGCUAACUAUAUGUCUAUGAAAAGGUACUCAAACGGAAGUGCUAUACCAAACCGUAGAACUGUUUCUGAACUGAUUCAAGCUUGUAAGACUAAAGCUGGCUGAUCAAUCAUAACAGUAUACAAUAUAUACUCCGCACACUAGACUGACGAUACUCGCUAUGAUAUAAUAUGAUUCAACAACUCAAUUGCGGUUGACAUGCAUAUGAGACGUUGUGUAGACUAUAUAUAGAUGUGUUAUCGUAUAUAUAAUAUACAAUAUACAAUAUAUAUAUAUAAUAUAAAUAUUUAUUUAACAGUUAUAACGUUUUAACUUCUGGUUUCAUUUUUAUUCAGGCGUACAAAAAAUAUAGAGGACUUAUGACAGGGGGCAAGAAGGACAAAAGGUCACUCCAUACAGGAUUGUCACCACGUUUUAAGAAAAAUUAUUAUUGUCAGACUUUUGUAUUCUGUUGGUGUAUUAAUAAACUCUUUUGUGUUUCUUCGUUCUUUGGAAAUAUUGCUUUGCAUUUUCCUUUAUUGAGUCGUGACAGUUGUAUCGUGGUAGUAUAUAGAUUAAUUUCUGUCAUUCUUUGCAUUAUUUACAUUUUUUACAAUUGUAUUUUGUUUUCAGUGCUCCAACAGACAAUUUAUAUAACUGAUAUUUUAUUUGGUAAUAGGCACAUUAAAUGCAUAUCAUAUUUGUUUAGUGCCUUGAAUAAAAAUACACAGGGAGAUGUAGAAGAAUCGAUAUCGGCUGAAAAACAAUGCUUGCAGUUUGUGACGGCAUGAUGUUCAUAUAUACAGCAUACUAAAAGUUCCAAACGUUCUUG